UACGAAGGGGGCUAGCGUUACUCGGAUUGACUGGGCGUAAAGGGCGCGUAGGCGGCUUGUACAGUCAGACGUGAAAUUCCUGGGCUCAACCUGGGGGCUGCGUUUGAUACGUGCGGGCUUGAGUUCGGAAGAGGGUCGUGGAAUUCCCAGUGUAGAGGUGAAAUUCGUAGAUAUUGGGAAGAACACCGGUGGAGAAGGCGGCGACCUGGUCCGAUACUGACGCUGAGGCGCGAAAGCGUGGGGAGCAAACAGG
Molecule: ribosomal RNA, 253 nt
Filed under: uncultured bacterium
Lineage: Bacteria
Description: partial 16S ribosomal RNA
Rfam family: Bacterial small subunit ribosomal RNA
Source: RNAcentral